UAACGAUCGUCUGCAAAUCGGAGGUGU
RNAcentral lists this small RNA (27 nucleotides) under Bombyx mori (domestic silkworm). RNAcentral's name for it is "ovarian small RNA-5669". The record is from RNAcentral. Lineage: Eukaryota; Metazoa; Arthropoda; Insecta; Lepidoptera; Bombycidae.